This 1113-nucleotide ribosomal RNA is filed under the name Lacticaseibacillus casei. RNAcentral describes it as "bacterial SSU rRNA". It matches the Rfam family "Bacterial small subunit ribosomal RNA", at positions 1 to 1112 of the family's 1533-position model. The record is from RNAcentral. Lineage: Bacteria; Bacillati; Bacillota; Bacilli; Lactobacillales; Lactobacillaceae.
GUGCAUGGCGCAGCUAUAAUGCAGUCGAACGAGUUCUCGUUGAUGAUCGGUGCUUGCACCGAGAUUCAACAUGGAACGAGUGGCGGACGGGUGAGUAACACGUGGGUAACCUGCCCUUAAGUGGGGGAUAACAUUUGGAAACAGAUGCUAAUACCGCAUAGAUCCAAGAACCGCAUGGUUCUUGGCUGAAAGAUGGCGUAAGCUAUCGCUUUUGGAUGGACCCGCGGCGUAUUAGCUAGUUGGUGAGGUAAUGGCUCACCAAGGCGAUGAUACGUAGCCGAACUGAGAGGUUGAUCGGCCACAUUGGGACUGAGACACGGCCCAAACUCCUACGGGAGGCAGCAGUAGGGAAUCUUCCACAAUGGACGCAAGUCUGAUGGAGCAACGCCGCGUGAGUGAAGAAGGCUUUCGGGUCGUAAAACUCUGUUGUUGGAGAAGAAUGGUCGGCAGAGUAACUGUUGUCGGCGUGACGGUAUCCAACCAGAAAGCCACGGCUAACUACGUGCCAGCAGCCGCGGUAAUACGUAGGUGGCAAGCGUUAUCCGGAUUUAUUGGGCGUAAAGCGAGCGCAGGCGGUUUUUUAAGUCUGAUGUGAAAGCCCUCGGCUUAACCGAGGAAGCGCAUCGGAAACUGGGAAACUUGAGUGCAGAAGAGGACAGUGGAACUCCAUGUGUAGCGGUGAAAUGCGUAGAUAUAUGGAAGAACACCAGUGGCGAAGGCGGCUGUCUGGUCUGUAACUGACGCUGAGGCUCGAAAGCAUGGGUAGCGAACAGGAUUAGAUACCCUGGUAGUCCAUGCCGUAAACGAUGAAUGCUAGGUGUUGGAGGGUUUCCGCCCUUCAGUGCCGCAGCUAACGCAUUAAGCAUUCCGCCUGGGGAGUACGACCGCAACGUUGAAACUCAAGGAAUUGACGGGGCCCGCACAAGCGGUGGAGCAUGGUGGUUUAAUUCUAAGCAACGCGAGAACCUUACCAGGUCCUUGACAUCUUUUGAUCAUCUGGAGAGAUCAGUUUUCCCCUUCCGCGCGCAGAUGAACAAGUGGUGCAUGAUGUCAUCAUCUCCUGUCAGUGAAAUGUUUGGCUAAAGUCCGUAACGAGCCGCCACACCGUGACUG